AGCUCCAAUAGCGUAUAUUAAAGUUGUUGCAGUUAAAAAGCUCGUAGUUGAACUUGUGGCUUUGCAUGUGGUCCAACAUUGUUUGGUGCCGUCCGUGUAGAACCAUCUUUGGACAGAAAUUGUGUGGCAUUAGGUUGUUGCGCAAGGGAUGUUCAUCUUUUACUGUGAGAAAAUCAGCGCGUUCAAAGCAGGCUUACGCCGUUGAAUGUAUUAGCAUGGAAUAAUAAGAUAGGCCCUCGGUACUAUUUUGUUGGUUUGCGCACUGAGGUAAUGAUCAAUAGGGACAGUUGGGGGUAUUUGUAUUCCGUAGUCAGAGGUGAAAUUCUUGGAUUUUCGGAAGACAAACUACUGCGAAAGCAUUUACCAAGGAUGUUUUCAUUAAUCAAGAACGAAAGUACGC
Molecule: ribosomal RNA, 400 nt
Filed under: phytoplankton environmental sample
Lineage: Eukaryota
Description: partial small subunit ribosomal RNA
Rfam family: Eukaryotic small subunit ribosomal RNA
Source: RNAcentral